UCUUCCUCUCCCAAUUCUUCUUUCGCUCACCAUUUCUCCUCUAGCCGACGCCUCCAUCAGCAUCCCUCACCGCGUGUGACUUGACGGACGACGGUUGCACAUCGACGCAACCCAGCAACCGCCUUGCAUCUCUCCCUCACGUGAUUGGAGCGCCUUGGCUUGCCGACACUAGAUCCACCACCGUCGGCCGUCCAUCUAAUCGGACGACGACCACUCCUUGUGUGGUUUAACUCACCGCUCAUUUUCGGCCAGACGCAGGUGUUCGAAGCCAUAGUUUUCGUGGGUAGUUUGAUCUUGGAAUUGGAUUUUAUUAUUAGAGGAAUUUUUUCCGCUGUACAGCCAUUCAAAAACUCAAAUUGGGCGUUCUUGGCACAACUUGUGCCAAAUUGAAGUGGGGAAAGCGUAUAAGCUCGAGGGAUCGAGUUACUGACUGCUUCGUGAAUGUGUUUCCGUAACGCCACCUACGGUUGUCAGGGGAUUUCGAGGCUGAAAGAGGUCGUGACCGGAGAUCCAAGAACCUGAGCGUAGGUGAGGACAUGGAUGGAGGAUUGUGAUAUGGCUUCGGGCCUAGCUUACCCCAUGGUUGGGUGGCUUUAUGUGCACAUAGGAGCGAUAUGUAGUUACUAUGGUAGGUGCUUCCUUGGCCGCGUGUUUCCUUGUGGAUAUGGAACACGUGUGAGCUAUUCCUGGGCCGUAUACUUAGUAUGCUAUCAUGGUUGGUUCGAUUGGUUGACGAUUGAUAUCAUGGUGGGUACUACGGAUGCGUGAGCUAGUUUUGGCCGCAUGAUGCUUUAUCAUGUGCGAGCUAUUUUUGGUUGUAUCCUUAGAUGCCUUGCCAUGGUUGUACAGAUUACAGGUUUGUUGAUGGACUAAUGGGUAUGAGUUAAUGACGCUUUUCACAAAUAUUAUACUUCUAAUGCAUAUUUAUAAUUUUUCUCUUUAAGCAUGUUUUAUGAGCUUUAUAUUUAAGAAACUUGUCACUCACUAAGUAUUCGACUUACAGUUAAAUGUUUUCUUCCCCCUCAGGUAGUGUACAAAGGUCAAGCGUUGAUUGAUCUCUUGUCAUCAGUCGUAGAUCUCCAUUAUUCUUUUGUAUGUUUGUAGUUAUUUUUUUUUGUAAUGCAUCAUGGAGUGAUUAGAUGUAGCGAGAGUGAGGCCAAGAACUUGUAUAGGAGAUCCUUCUUUAGAACAAAAUCAUUUUGUAUGUAAUUUUAGUCAAAUUAUGAACUUUACUGA
Long non-coding RNA from Cucumis melo (muskmelon), 1236 nucleotides. RefSeq lists it as uncharacterized. The record is from RefSeq and is a predicted model, not a curated record. Lineage: Eukaryota; Viridiplantae; Streptophyta; Magnoliopsida; Cucurbitales; Cucurbitaceae. The transcript is spliced from 4 exons.